This 150-nucleotide non-coding RNA is filed under the name Desulfobaculum bizertense. RNAcentral's name for it is "Desulfovibrio bizertensis FMN sequence". It matches the Rfam family "FMN riboswitch aptamer (RFN element)". From Rfam's summary of the family: The RFN element is a highly conserved domain that is found frequently in the 5'-untranslated regions of prokaryotic mRNAs that encode for flavin mononucleotide (FMN) biosynthesis and transport proteins. This element is a metabolite-dependent riboswitch that directly binds FMN in the absence of proteins. In Bacillus subtilis, the riboswitch most likely controls gene expression by causing premature transcription termination within the 5' untranslated region of the ribDEAHT operon and precluding access to the ribosome-binding site of ypaA mRNA. Lineage: Bacteria; Pseudomonadati; Thermodesulfobacteriota; Desulfovibrionia; Desulfovibrionales; Desulfovibrionaceae. RNAcentral also lists the same sequence under 1 other name. The record is from RNAcentral.
UCUUAUUCUCAGGGCGGGGUGGAAAUCCCCACCGGCGGUAGCCUGACAAAGCAUCAGGAAGCCCGCGAGCGCGUUCUCAUUGGGAGACACGUUGCAGAUCUGGUCGAAAUCCAGAGCCGACGGUAAUAGUCCGGAUAAAAGAGAGUAAGA